RNAcentral lists this long non-coding RNA (6389 nucleotides) under Brassica napus (rape). Its description in RNAcentral is "long non-coding RNA (BNAP_LNC016009)". Lineage: Eukaryota; Viridiplantae; Streptophyta; Magnoliopsida; Brassicales; Brassicaceae. The record is from RNAcentral.
UUGAGAGGUUAAGUGUGGAUGGAGAAGAAGGAGCUUAGGAGGAAUGGAUAGGUUUGGGUAAGGUGUCCGUACAAGGCAAGGCCGUACAAGGCCGUACCACUUGGCCGUACACACUUACCUCAGCUGCGGUUAAGUCAAGAGUUACUUGGGUGACUUACCAUGAUAAGAAGAAGCACUGAUCACUCACCUGAAGGAUCAGACCGUUACCAAAGGAAGAAGGAGCGUGUGACAGCCUGUCUUGAGCUGGAAAGAAGAAGGCAUAAAGCAAAGAUACCUCACACACGCGGUCACUCUCAUUGGAUAGUUCAAAUGCAUUCUUAUCUUAUCCAUUGACUCCACAUGCUUUCUCUCUUGGAGCCUUAUCCAUCCAGGCCGUGGACAGGCUGUAAAGGCCAAGCGUGUGAGCCUUACCAUCCGUUCAUUCAAAAGGGACGCUCCUCUUGGUCUUGACUUCACAUGCUUAUGACUAGUGCUGCUUUCUCUUAACUUGUAACCCUAAUGCCUCUUCUAUAAAUAUUGUAACCUCAUCUCAUAAUAAGAUCAGACAGUUCUAAACAAUCUCUCUCUAUACUCAUUUCAUUAUGAUUCUCCAUUAGUCUCUAAUCUGUCUCUUAAUCUCUUAUUCUCUUCUAUAAUCCUUUCUAAACUCAGAUAAUCAUUUACAUCCUUAAAUCUUAUAGUUUGGAGAUGAUAUAAGUGAUGCUUGCUGUCCCCUCUGCCAAUAACUCUUCCAGUCUUCAAAUCUUGAAACUCAACUUCAUUUGGCCUGAAUACUACUUGACAAUCCAGAUCAAUUGUAGCUUUCUUAACUGAUAUCAGAUUUGAAGUGAACUGAGGCAGAUAUAAGGCGGUUGAGCUCUUUUCAAACAGCUUGAGGUUUCCCAUUCCUUCUACUGGGAUCUGAGCGCCAUUAGCUAUAGUAACACACCCUGUUGCAGCCCUGACAUCACUUAUCAGACUCCUAUCACUGAUCAUAUGAUGUGUUGCUCCAGAAUCAAUUAUGAUAGGUUUAGGAGCUGUGGAGAAAUCGCUUUGCUUCUCACUUGCAGCUAGAGCACCUUGCUUCUUUCUUGCAGCCAGUUCAUACACACACUUAACAAACUCAUCCCAUUCUUUCUUUGUGAUUGGAUCCUCUCCUCCUUUGGUCUCCUGCCUCCUUGUACUUACACCAUCUUCUACUGAUUCUCCCAAGUAAGCUGAGUAUGAACACUCUCCUAUAACCAUCUGCUGAAGUAUAUCCUUGAUUCUCUUCAAGAUCACACUCAUCCUGUCACUUAAGUGCUCAGACUCGCUACCCUUUCUCCAUGCCCUUCUCUUCAUUAACCACUCCUUAGAAAGUUUUCUCAACCUUCCCUUCUUACAGCUUGUACCUCCCUUCCAUCUUUCUGGUUUCCUGUUCAUCUCACACACAUCACAAGUGUGUUUAACAAGCUCACAUACCUCUUCCAUAAGAAAGCUAAAGAUCACAUCUUGCUUCCUCCUUUCUUGACAACAUCUCGGAUUUGAUGUGUGUGCCUUCACCACAUCUAACUCUGACCAUACUUCUCUCAGCCUUCCCACAAGCUGAUAACACUCAUCCUUUCCUUGUCUCAAGCCGCGGAUCACCCAUUUGUCCUCAACGACUCUUACAAGCUUGGACUUGCCUAAAGUUGCUUCAAUCUCACUCUUUGUAGUGUCUCCUUGAACAACUUCAUUUCCCAGCUUCAGACCUCUUGUCUGACCUUCUUCAGUAGCCAUUUCCAUGAAAGGUUUCCCCUUUCCAUGACUACUCCAUAACCCACAGCUUUCCAAAGCUCCCUUUAUCCAUCUUGAACACACUCCAUCAAUCUCUUCUUCACGCGCCACUGGUUUACUAGAUCUGUGCUUCAUCUCCUGUUGAGGUUGAUUGAAUCGACCAGACAACCUCUCAAAUAUCCAGAAACUGAAGAACAGCUCAAGAACAGCUCAAGAACACACAAACAGAUUCUCGCAAAUCACCACUCCCUUCCUUGCCAACCUGGCUCUGAUACCAUGAACACUUUUGUGUAUGUAGAGUGAUGAAUAAAUAUCAAGAGAUGAUUAGUGUAGUUUGUAUGAGGUUUGGAGAUUAAGAGAGACUAAGAGAAUAAAGAACAAAAGAGAAUACUCAAAACUCCAUUAGAUUGAUUAAUGAGAGAGUUUAAUGUAGUUUGUAUGAGGUUUGGAGAUUAAGAGAGACUAAGAGAAUAAAGAACAAGAGAGAAUACUCAAAAUUCCAUUAGAUUGAUUAAUGAGAGAGUUUACAACAUAUAUAGACUAGGGAUACAUCAAUUCGUCCAGGUUCAGUCUAGUUAGGAUAAGAAGCAUGUGUAGUCAAAGAUGCUUGAUUCAAACUAGCCAAUAAGGUUCCUCACAUGCUUGGGUAUCUUGCUUUAGCCUUCCAGCUGGUGCCAGCCUGUCUAAAGCUCUCUUCCCUUGACCAGACCUUAUCCAAACUCCUCCUUGCUUAUCCAGACUCCUCCUGGCGUGUUUCACUCUCCAAAUGGAUGCAAGGUAACUUCCCACGUCUUUUACCUCAGUUACCACAGUAACAAUAAAGUUACUGUGGUAAAUCUUCAAAGUUACUGCCUUCUCCAAAUCCCUUCCCCUAUCCAUGUAUCAACUCUUCAUCUCCUCAUCUCAACACUUCUCAACACUCCCCCUCAAGCUUGACCAUGUGAAACAAGUCAAGCUUGGAAACCAUGAAGACCUCCCUCAUUAAAAACCUCACCAAAGAAAACCCAUUGGGAUAAAACUUUGAUGAGGGAAAAAGAGUGGAGACUCCAUGGUUAAGGGGCUCAGCUCCUGGGAGUAAGAUCAAUGAGUCCAAGCCUGGAUAGUAUGGACUCCAUUGUCUUCAAUCUCGCUGCCUUAGUAAACACAUCAGCCAGUUGAUCCUCACUCCUUGUAUAACAUGGCAGAAUCACUCCUAAGAUAAUCAUCUGCCUCACCUUGUGACAAUCCACUUCUAUGUGCUUCGUUCUCUCAUGAAAAACUGAGUUAGAAGCAAUAUGGAUAGCUGCUUGAUUGUCACAGUGCAUUGUCAUAGGAGUACUCUGUUCAAUCUCCAGAUGCUUCAAGAUACCCUUGAUCCACACCAGCUCGUUUGUCAACUUCAACAUAGCCCUAUAUUCAGCCUCAGCACUUGAACAAGAGAUGACCUUCUGCUUCUUACUCUUCCAAGUAACCAGGUUCCCUCCAAUGAAUGUACAAUAGCCAGUAGUUGAUCUCCUGUCCACUCUAUCUCCUGCCCAAUCAGCAUCACAAUAGCCCACUACUUCUGUGCUGCCAUUGCAUCCCAUCCAAACUCCUUGACCAGGCGUGCCACUUAAAUACCUCAAUAUCCUAUCAACCAUCUUCCAGUGAUGUACCUUUGGCGCCUGCAUAUGCUGACUCACUUGGUUCACAGCAAAACAUAUAUCUGGCCGUGUGAUGGUCAAGUAGAUCAGUUUGCCAACCAUCUUCCUGUACAGCUUAGGAUCCUCAAACAACUGCUUCUCUUCAACCUCCCCCUCACGCAAAACCUUUUACCCCUCCUCAAGAGGUGUCUUUGCUACCUUUCCUCCAAGUACAUCAGUCUCCUUCAGCAUAUCCAUUGUAUACUUCCUUUGAGACAUAAACAAACCCUCCUUGGAUCUGCAUAUCUCAAUCCCCAAGAAAUACUUCAUCUCUCCCAAGUCUUUGAUGUCAAACACAGACUUGAGGAACUCUUUAGUGGCUUUAAUCCCAGCCUUAUCACUCCCUGUGAUAAUCAAAUCAUCCACAUAUACCAGUAUCACAAUGAUCCCUGAUGGAGUAACCAAAGUGAAGAGUGUGUGAUCCAGUUCAGACUUCCUGAAUCCUCUCCCAUUCAGAGUUGUACUCAGCUUCCUGUACCAAGCUCUAGGAGACUGCUUCAGCCCAUAUAUUGCCUUCUUCAAUCUCAAAACAUUUCCUGGUUUUACUAGAUGCUCAAGACCAGGAGGAGGAAGCAUGUAUACCUCAUCCUCUAGCUCACCUUGUAAGAAAGCAUUCUUCACAUCCAUCUGCCACAAAUCCCACUCCAAGUUUGCUGCAAUGGACAACACAAUCCGAACUGUAUGUAGCUUAGCUACUGGUGCAAAGGUAUCAAUGUAAUCCUCUCCAUAGGUCUGUGUAAAUCCUCUUGCAACCAAUCUGGUCUUCUUCCUAUCAAUCUGUCCAUCAGCUAGAUACUUGAUUGUGAAGAUCCAUCUACUAGAUACAGCCCUUUUUCCCUUAGGCAGCUCACUCUCAUACCAUGUAUCAUUUUUGAUCAUUGCACCUGCUUCAGUUCCCACUGAUUCUUUCCAUUCCUUGUCUAACAUAGCUUCUUCAUAAGUCCUUGGUACAUAACUCUCAUCCAGACUAAUCAUAAAGGCAUGAUGCUCCUCUGGAAACUCAGCAAAGUCCAGACUAAUCAUAAAGGCAUAUAGCUUCUUCAUAAGUCCUUGGUACAUAACUCUCAUCCAGACUAAUCAUAAAGGCAUGAUGCUCCUCUGGAAACUCAGCAAAGGAACACACGGCUUGAGAAGGAUGCUCCAUAGCCUGGGCAUUGUAGUACACUCUCGUGUUUACCCAGUUGGAAGGAUCCCUCUUUAUCCUUGUGCUCCUCCGCAAGGUCUCAACAUGUUCUUCAGCCUGAAUAUUAUCUUGUGUUUCCUCUCCUAAACCAGUAGGUUCUCCCGGCUCAUUUCCACCUGACUGAUCCUCACUCUCCUCUGUACCAGUAGACUGAACAACAUUCUCUACUUCCUGUGUCUCCUCAUGAUCAUGCUGUCCUGAAUCCUCUUGGUUUUGCUCCUGCUCCUCUGAUUCAGGUCCAUUCCCCCUCUCAUGAUCAAGAGGGGUUGUUUCUCCAGCUUGAUUAGAAGGUUCUCUCCUUCCUGGUUCCUGAUCUUGGGAUAAUCCUAUCCCUAGCCUCUCCAACAACACUCUCAGUGUUGUUGCCGUCUCUGAUGGAGCUCGGGACAGAUCCUCUAGGUCUUCCCAUUUCUUCUCCUCAUAAUAUCCUCUAGACUCCACAAACUUCACUUCUCUGGAUACCAAAACCCUCCUGGUUAUUGGAUCAUAACAUUUGUACCCUUUCUGAGUGAUUGAGUACCCAAUGAACAUAGCUUUAGUACUCUUUGCUUCUAGCUUGUUCCUCCUCUCUCCGGGAACCAUCACAUAACAUAAACACCCAAAGACUCUCAAAUGAUCAAGGUGUGGUUUAGUCUUGUUCAAUACCUCAAAGGGAGACAGAUUCUUUAGGAUCUUGGUCGGAACUCUGUUGAUGAGAUAGCACGCAGUCUGAACAGCAUCCCCCCAAAACCUCUUUGGAACAUUUGCAUGAAACAUCAUUGACCUUGCUACCUCCAUCAAGUGCCUAUUCUUUCUCUCAGCCACCCCAUUCUGCUGUGGUGUGUAAGGACAGCUUGUCUGCUGCACAAUCCCAUGCUUUGCUAGAUAACUCUUGAAAGCAUUGCUAGUGUAUUCUCCUCCAUUAUCAGAUCUUAGCACCUUCACAGUAGCAUUGUAUUGAUUAGUUACAUAUGCUUGGAAGUUCAUGAAGGCUUCUAGGACUCUAUCUUUAGAGGGAAUCAAAGUGACCCAUGUAUACUUUGAUUUCUCAUCAAUAAAAGUGACAAAGUACUUCUGGCUAUCCCUAGACUCACACGGAGAUGUCCACACAUCUGAGUGAACUAGAUCAAAGCAAUGCUCAUAUAUAGUCUCUGAUGCUGGAAAGACAGUCCUACAAUGCUUUCCUAAUAUGCAUGCUUCACACUCCAAGUGAUUAAAUGACAUAUUAGGCAUGAUCAACUCAAUUGCACGAGCAUGAGGAUGUCCUAAUCUAGCAUGCCAAGUCAUACUAUCACACCUAUCAGCAGCACUACUCAGGCACAUAGAGUUAAUGGGAUUAAGAGUCUUAGCUGUUUGUGUUGAGAUGAGAAGUCUUGAGAGGUUAAGUGUGGAUGGAGAAGAAGGAGCUUAGGAGGAAUGGAUAGGUUUGGGUAAGGUGUCCGUACAAGGCAAGGCCGUACAAGGCCGUACCACUUGGCCGUACACACUUACCUCAGCUGCGGUUAAGUCAAGAGUUACUUGGGUGACUUACCAUGAUAAGAAGAAGCACUGAUCACUCACCUGAAGGAUCAGACCGUUACCAAAGGAAGAAGGAGCGUGUGACAGCCUGUCUUGAGCUGGAAAGAAGAAGGCAUAAAGCAAAGAUACCUCACACACGCGGUCACUCUCAUUGGAUAGUUCAAAUGCAUUCUUAUCUUAUCCAUUGACUCCACAUGCUUUCUCUCUUGUGUAUUCGAAACCCUAGAGCCUCUCUCACACUAUAUAAUGUAUCCUUAUCUCAUUAAUGAAAGUUAGACAGUUCUAAACAAUCUCUCUCUAUACUCAUUUCAUUA